Vicugna pacos (alpaca) is the source of this 2250-nucleotide non-coding RNA. The record is from RefSeq and is a predicted model, not a curated record. Lineage: Eukaryota; Metazoa; Chordata; Mammalia; Artiodactyla; Camelidae.
AAGAAAACAGAACUCCGUUACUGGGUCUGUCAAAGUCACGUGCUUCCCUCCCCCCACUUACGCCCUUUCGCGCCCGCCCGCACGGGAUCCGCCGGGGUCCGAGCGCUCGGAGACGCACAACCAUCAGAGGGCACCGCCGCGCCCCCAAGAGCGCAGGCGGACAAACGGCCUCCAGGGCGCCAGGGUCUGGUCCCAAGACUGAGUCUUGGCACUCCCGGGCCUCAAGACCUUGCCAGGCUUCCAGGAUAGUGCAGUGGUCAGCGCGCGAGGAGCUUCCAGGCCACCUUCCUAUAUGAUGUUUGUCAAAACCAGAGGGAAAAGCCAAUAAACUGAGCAUGAUGGAGCAGAAAGAAAGACAGCACUAAUCUUGGAGAUGGCUUCAUCACUUUAGUCUUAUAAUGACAACGACACACAUCUAUGUGACCCCCAGCGUCGACUCUCACCACCCCUACCUGCGCACAUAUUCUCAGAUGGAGCCACACUCAAAUAAUUUUUUGACAGUAUCAAGAAGUACAUAAGCUACAACAAACAAAUCUGUACAGUUGGGAGGAACGAUAAUAGAAGGAACCAAGCAGAACCGUUCUGACCCCCGUGUGCCGAUGGAGUCCAUCCCCGUAGCCCUUGGGAUUUUCCAGGAUGUCGGCUGCACCGCCCUCCCCGCCUUCAGCUCACUUAUCACACAGUAAUGCUCUUCUGGUCACUCCAAAACAAGACUGGGGCCAGUGUCUAUGAGACACAGCAGCCGACCUGGCAGUCCACUGCGGUCCAGGAAAUUCUGUCACUUGUUUGGAAAACAGAUCAAGUGUAAGAAAUGGUUUUAUUUCUUUAGCCUUAUCAGCUUUAGAUGGGGCUGGGGCCAUUCAGUUCAUUUCCCUGGUGGCUUAAAACAGAACAUCUUCGUUUUCUAUUAAAAUCUGCACAAUCAGCUUUUGGUACCGCAUGUCAUGGAGGGUGGUGAGGGUGCUGUCCUCAGGGGGCCUCAUCAGAGUGGGCCCGAACACGAUCCCCAGAUUUUCAGCAUUCAUUAAAUUGUCCUUUUCAUUCAGAGUCACCCUGCAAGACAAACAUACACAGAGACCUUACACGGGCUUGCUGGUGGAUUGGUGUACUGAUUAUGUACCCCAAGAACGUCUCCGGUUUGGGAAUUUUCCAAAGAAAACUGAGAAUUAGUAUUACAGAAAAGUAUUUUUUAAAAGGUAAUUUUCUGAUUUUUUUUUUUUAUUAGACUGUUGGCAUAGCUUUCAGCCAGGGGACGUGAACUGCUAAGUGAAUCUGGUAUAGGCAGAGUUUUCAAAAUUAUAAAAUCAAUCCUUCUCACUAAAUAAAUGUGGAACUCUCACUCAGGGAACAUCAUUGGUUUGAAGGGGCAGUAGAUUAUUAGGUGGUCCAGAGUGCAUUCAGAUUUUAGUCUAGGCUUGUAUGCAAGUUUUUUUUUUUUUUCCUCCCUCCUGUCGCUUUCUGCUGGUCUGUAUGCUGACAAGCCGGGAGGCAGAGGGCAGAUUCCCUGUCUGCUGGCAGGGCUAGUGCCCGAGGAGAAAGGUCACGUGGAAGAUGGGGCUGCUACGAGUUUAGGAAUAGCCAAGCCAUCAUCACGGGACUGGGGAAUAGCUGGAAUGUGGCCAAAGGGGAAAGCAGUUGACAUUACUUCUAGUUCCCACGGGAUGAGGUCUGGAGCAGUAAUUAUUGUUGGAAUUCAAAAAUCAUCAUUUCAACAUCCAGAUAAGAACUGCAAAGCCUUUAAGAAUGAACUUCAAAGUUGGCUUAAUACCUUUCUAGUAGAAUAAAAAGAUAAUCUCCCAGAUUCUUGCUUGAAGGAAUUUAGGUUCUAGGAUGUUCAAAACAGAUCUAAAAGGGAGUACCUUCUCCAAAGAAGAACAAAAUAGGACUAACAUAUGUUUAGGUUUUGCACAGGAGAUCAUCCCUUCGUGUCUAUUCUCUCGAAGCUAAUUAAGACUAGCCAUUUAGCAUUAUUGCAGGAAGGUCAGCUCAACUUGCAUGAUUUUCAUGUUGCAAAGCUAAGAGGGAGGUAGAAAGAGGACAUUCUUUGCUAUCAAACUGGUCACAACCUCUCAUUAAGUCAGGCACCACACCUGACCAACUAAGAUGGUGAGCAAGCCCUCCAUAAUAAAAAUACUAAGUAAUCGGCAUUUAAGAUUCAACUGGGACAUGUUAGCAUUUUGCCUGAAAACGUUACUUUGCCUUCCAAAGUAUAACAAUUGGACACCAAAAGAAAUAAAGCUAAUUAAAAGC